GGGGAUAUAGCUCAGGUAUUAGAGCGCUCCCUUCGCAUGGGAGAGGGGCUGGGGUUCAAUUCCCCAUAUCUCCA
Ascaris suum (pig roundworm) is the source of this 74-nucleotide non-coding RNA. The record is from Rfam. NCBI's taxonomy places the organism in Eukaryota, Metazoa, Nematoda, Chromadorea, Rhabditida, Ascarididae.